GACGAACGCUGGCGGCGUGCUUAACACAUGCAAGUCGAACGGAAAGGCCCUGCUUUUGUGGGGUGCUCGAGUGGCGAAAGGGUGAGUAACACGUGAGUAACCUGCCCUUGACUUUGGGAUAACUUCAGGAAACUGGGGCUAAUACCGGAUAGGAGCUCCUGCUUCAUGGUGGGGGUUGGAAAGUUUCGGCGGUUGGGGAUGGACUCGCGGCUUAUCAGCUUGUUGGUGGGGUAGUGGCUUACCAAGGCUUUGACGGGUAGCCGGCCUGAGAGGGUGACCGGCCACAUUGGGACUGAGAUACGGCCCAGACUCCUACGGGAGGCAGCAGUGGGGAAUAUUGCACAAUGGGCGGAAGCCUGAUGCAGCAACGCCGCGUGCGGGAUGACGGCCUUCGGGUUGUAAACCGCUUUCGCCUGUGACGAAGCGUGAGUGACGGUAAUGGGUAAAGAAGCACCGGCUAACUACGUG
Molecule: ribosomal RNA, 468 nt
Filed under: uncultured bacterium
Lineage: Bacteria
Description: partial 16S ribosomal RNA
Rfam family: Bacterial small subunit ribosomal RNA
Source: RNAcentral